Molecule: long non-coding RNA, 383 nt
Organism: Mus caroli (Ryukyu mouse)
Lineage: Eukaryota; Metazoa; Chordata; Mammalia; Rodentia; Muridae
Source: RefSeq, a predicted model, not a curated record
GAUGCUGAUCCUUAGAGGACCCUGAUGAUUAUUGCAAAACAACCUGAUGGACUGGCCAUUAAUCACUGCUCAGGGCAGCAUUGCUGCUCUCCGUCUGCUGUUGCAUGCCCGACUGACUUCUUGAGAGAACACGGAAAGGAAGCUGCCAGGAGUCUUCAAUGUGACACUUUAAAUCGGCACAUGUGGCAGCAACCAUUACAGUCUUUCUACCACAAUAGGUAUCCUUUAGAGUCUACUAUUCACAGUGAAUUUGUGGUUUUGAUGAUAAAAUGCUGAGAAGCCUUGUCACAAGCUGCUCUUGAUUUGAGUCGGUUGCCUGCUUGAAUGGGGGCAAAGAAAUGGACAAGACAGAAAAAACUAAUUAAUAAUGUAAAAGUCCCUGU